AAUCAACGCUGGCGGCGUGCCUCAGACAUGCAAGUCGAACGAUUAAAGCUCUCUUCGGAGAGUGCAUAAAGUGGCGCACGGGUGAGUAACACGUAAGUAAUCUACCUUCGAGUGGGGAAUAACGUCCGGAACGGACGCUAAUACCGCAUAACGCAGCGGCAUCGCAAGAUGACAGUUGUUAAAGAUUUAUCGCUUGAAGAGGAGCUUGCGGCAGAUUAGCUUGUUGGUAAGGUAACGGCUUACCAAGGCUACGAUCUGUAACCGGUCUAAGAGGACGGUCGGUCACACUGACACUGAAUAACGGGUCAGACUCCUACGGGAGGCAGCAGUC
RNAcentral lists this ribosomal RNA (331 nucleotides) under uncultured bacterium. RNAcentral describes it as "bacterial SSU rRNA". It matches the Rfam family "Bacterial small subunit ribosomal RNA", at positions 32 to 356 of the family's 1533-position model. The record is from RNAcentral.